This is a long non-coding RNA of Carassius auratus (goldfish), 1614 nucleotides long. The record is from Ensembl. Lineage: Eukaryota; Metazoa; Chordata; Actinopteri; Cypriniformes; Cyprinidae.
AUGUUCAUCACCUUUGAGUACUUCCUUGUGAAGACGGGGAGCAGCAGUGAAGCGUUUGAAGACACCUUUGAGUACUUCCUAGUGAAGACGGAGAGCGGCAGCAGCAGUGAAAUGUUCGAGAAUGUGUUUGAGUACUUCCUAGUGAAGACGGAGAGCAGCAGCAGCAGUGAAGUGUUCGAGGAUGUGUUUGAGUACUUCCUAGUGAAGACAGAGAGCAGUAGCAGUGAAGUGUUCGAAUACACCUUUGAGUACUUCCUUGUGAAGACGGAGAGCAGCAGUGAAGCGUUUGAAGACACCUUUGAGUACUUCCUAGUGAAGACGGAGAGCGGCAGCAGCAGUGAAAUGUUCGAGGAUGUGUUUGAGUACUUCCUAGUGAAGACGGAGAGCAGCAGCAGCAGUGAAGUGUUCGAGGAUGUGUUUGAGUACUUCCUAGUGAAGACAGAGAGCAGUAGCAGUGAAGUGUUCGAAUACACCUUUGAGUACUUCCUUGUGAAGACGGAGAGCAGCAGCAGCAGCAGUGAAGUGUUCGAGGAUGUGUUCGAGUACUUCCCAGUGAAGACGGAGAGCAGCAGCAGUGAAGUGUUCGAGGAUAUGUUCGAGUACUUCCUAGUGAAGACAGAGAGCAGCAGUAGCAGUGAAGUGUUCAAGGAUAUGUUUGAGUACUUCCUAGUGAAGACGGAGAGCAGCAGCCGCAGUGAAGUGUUCGAGGAUGUGUUCGAGUACUUCCUAGUGAAGACGGAGAGCAGCAGCAGCAGCAGUGAAGUGUUUGAGGAUGUGUUCAAGUACUUAGCAGUGAAGACGGAGAGCAGCAGCAGCAGCAGGGAAGUGUUUGAGGAUGUGUUCGAGUACUUCCUAGUCAAGACGGAAAGCAGCAGCAGCAGUGAAGUGUUCGAGGAUGUGUUCGAGUACUUCCUAGUGAAGACGGAGAGCAGCAGCAGCAUCAGUGAAGUGUUUGAGGAUGUGUUCGAGUACUUCCUAGUGAAGACGGAGAGCAGCAGCAGUGAAGUGUUUGAGGAUGUGUUCGAGUACUUCCUAGUGAAGACGGAGAGCAGCAGCCGCAGUGAAGUGUUCGAGGAUGUGUUCGAGUACUUCCUAGUGAAGACGGAGAGCAGCAGCAGCAGUGAAGUGUUCGAGGAUGUGUUCGAGUACUUCCUAGUGAAGACGGAGAGCAGCAGCAGCAGCAGUGAAGUGUUUGAGGAUGUGUUCGAGUACUUCCCAGUGAAGACGGAGAGCAGCAGCAGCAGCAGUGAAGUGUUUGAGGAUGUGUUCGAGUACUUCCCAGUGAAGACGGAGAGCAGCAGCAGCAGCAGUGAAGUGUUUGAGGAUGUGUUCGAGUACUUCCUAGUGAAGACGGAGAGCAGCAGCCGCAGUGAAGUGUUCGAGGAUGUGUUCGAGUACUUCCUAGUGAAGACGGAGAGCAGCAGCAGCAGCAGUGAAGUGUUCGAGGAUGUGUUCGAGUACUUCCCAGUGAAGACGGAGAGCAGCAGCAGCAGCAGUGAAGUGUUUGAGGAUGUGCUCGAGUACUUCCCAGUGAAGACAGAGAGCAGCAGCAGCAGCAGCAGUGAAGUGUUCGAUGAUGUGUUCGAGUUCUUCCCAGGAUUGCCAAAACAGUAA